GAAAAUUUAGUUAAUUAUAACAUUAGAUCGUCAUUCUAAAAUAAAUAAUUAUAUUUAUUAUUUUUCU
This 67-nucleotide transfer RNA is filed under the name Bombus lantschouensis. RNAcentral's name for it is "tRNA-Asp". The record is from RNAcentral. Lineage: Eukaryota; Metazoa; Arthropoda; Insecta; Hymenoptera; Apidae.